GGGCUGGGAAGCGCAUAAUUAUGAUAUCAUUCACAGAUCUACUCCAUCCUGCUUCAGUACCAGAAAGUGAGAGGCAACAGCUCAGUAAAACAUUUUGCAUUGGAAGGAGGACCAUUUCAUCAGCAAUAAGACUUGGUGGCCUUGGAUAGAUGGGCUUUAUUCAGCAUUCAGAAGAGGAACUUGAACUGCCUGCAUCUGCCCCAUUAUAUUGUCUAUAUGCAGUAAAACCACAGUGUCUAACAGCUGCUGGUGUUAGGAUUAAGGGAAAAUAUAAUUUGAUGCAGUGGCACGUGUGUCAUGAUUUCUGCUGUAGCUUCUACCAGC
Molecule: long non-coding RNA, 324 nt
Organism: Ficedula albicollis (Collared flycatcher)
Lineage: Eukaryota; Metazoa; Chordata; Aves; Passeriformes; Muscicapidae
Exons: 3
Source: RefSeq, a predicted model, not a curated record